CACAGAGGUCUCAAGCGUUGUUCGGAUUCAUUGGGCGUAAAGGGUGCGUAGGUGGCGGGGUAAGUCAGGUGUGAAAUCUCGGGGCUCAACCCCGAAACUGCACUUGAUACUGCCUUGCUCGAGUACUGGAGAGGAGAUUGGAAUUUACGGUGUAGCAGUGAAAUGCGUAGAUAUCGUAAGGAAGACCAGUGGCGAAGGCGAAUCUCUGGACAGUUACUGACACUGAGGCACGAAGGCCAGGGGAGCAAACGGG
This 253-nucleotide ribosomal RNA is filed under the name uncultured bacterium. Its description in RNAcentral is "partial 16S ribosomal RNA". It matches the Rfam family "Bacterial small subunit ribosomal RNA", at positions 524 to 776 of the family's 1533-position model. The record is from RNAcentral.